This 410-nucleotide ribosomal RNA is filed under the name uncultured microorganism. RNAcentral's name for it is "bacterial SSU rRNA". It matches the Rfam family "Archaeal small subunit ribosomal RNA", at positions 330 to 745 of the family's 1478-position model. The record is from RNAcentral.
GUGCAGCAGUCGAGAAACUUUACAAUGUGCGAAAGCACGAUAAGGGAGCUCUGAGUGCCUCCUAAGGAGGCUGUUCAGGUGUCUAAAAGCACCUGAAGGAAGGGCUGGGUAAGACCGGUGCCAGCCGCCGCGGUAACACCGGCAGCCCAAGUGGUAGCCACGUUUAUUGGGUCUAAAGCGUCCGUAGCCGGCUGGGUAAGUUCCUUGGGAAAUUUGGCUGCUUAACAGUCAAGCUUUCAGGGAAUACUGCCCGGCUUGGGGACCGGGAGAGGUCAGAGGUACUCCAGGGGUAGGGGUGAAAUCCAUUAAAUCCUUGGGGGACCACCGGUAGCGAAGGCGUCUGACCAGACCGGGUCCGACGGUGAGGGACGAAGGCUAGGGGCGCGAACCGGAUUAGAUACCCGCGUAGU